RNAcentral lists this ribosomal RNA (1446 nucleotides) under Klebsiella pneumoniae. RNAcentral describes it as "bacterial SSU rRNA". It matches the Rfam family "Bacterial small subunit ribosomal RNA". The record is from RNAcentral. Lineage: Bacteria; Pseudomonadati; Pseudomonadota; Gammaproteobacteria; Enterobacterales; Enterobacteriaceae.
GGAAACGACUGCGCAGCUACACAUGCAAGUCGAGCGGUAGCACAGAGAGCUUGCUCUCGGGUGACGAGCGGCGGACGGGUGAGUAAUGUCUGGGAAACUGCCUGAUGGAGGGGGAUAACUACUGGAAACGGUAGCUAAUACCGCAUAAUGUCGCAAGACCAAAGUGGGGGACCUUCGGGCCUCAUGCCAUCAGAUGUGCCCAGAUGGGAUUAGCUAGUAGGUGGGGUAACGGCUCACCUAGGCGACGAUCCCUAGCUGGUCUGAGAGGAUGACCAGCCACACUGGAACUGAGACACGGUCCAGACUCCUACGGGAGGCAGCAGUGGGGAAUAUUGCACAAUGGGCGCAAGCCUGAUGCAGCCAUGCCGCGUGUGUGAAGAAGGCCUUCGGGUUGUAAAGCACUUUCAGCGGGGAGGAAGGCGUUAAGGUUAAUAACCUUGUCGAUUGACGUUACCCGCAGAAGAAGCACCGGCUAACUCCGUGCCAGCAGCCGCGGUAAUACGGAGGGUGCAAGCGUUAAUCGGAAUUACUGGGCGUAAAGCGCACGCAGGCGGUCUGUCAAGUCGGAUGUGAAAUCCCCGGGCUCAACCUGGGAACUGCAUUCGAAACUGGCAGGCUAGAGUCUUGUAGAGGGGGGUAGAAUUCCAGGUGUAGCGGUGAAAUGCGUAGAGAUCUGGAGGAAUACCGGUGGCGAAGGCGGCCCCCUGGACAAAGACUGACGCUCAGGUGCGAAAGCGUGGGGAGCAAACAGGAUUAGAUACCCUGGUAGUCCACGCCGUAAACGAUGUCGAUUUGGAGGUUGUGCCCUUGAGGCGUGGCUUCCGGAGCUAACGCGUUAAAUCGACCGCCUGGGGAGUACGGCCGCAAGGUUAAAACUCAAAUGAAUUGACGGGGGCCCGCACAAGCGGUGGAGCAUGUGGUUUAAUUCGAUGCAACGCGAAGAACCUUACCUGGUCUUGACAUCCACAGAACUUUCCAGAGAUGGAUUGGUGCCUUCGGGAACUGUGAGACAGGUGCUGCAUGGCUGUCGUCAGCUCGUGUUGUGAAAUGUUGGGUUAAGUCCCGCAACGAGCGCAACCCUUAUCCUUUGUUGCCAGCGGUUCGGCCGGGAACUCAAAGGAGACUGCCAGUGAUAAACUGGAGGAAGGUGGGGAUGACGUCAAGUCAUCAUGGCCCUUACGACCAGGGCUACACACGUGCUACAAUGGCAUAUACAAAGAGAAGCGACCUCGCGAGAGCAAGCGGACCUCAUAAAGUAUGUCGUAGUCCGGAUUGGAGUCUGCAACUCGACUCCAUGAAGUCGGAAUCGCUAGUAAUCGUAGAUCAGAAUGCUACGGUGAAUACGUUCCCGGGCCUUGUACACACCGCCCGUCACACCAUGGGAGUGGGUUGCAAAAGAAGUAGGUAGCUUAACCUUCGGGAGGGCGCUACCACUUGAUCGUGAAA